Molecule: microRNA precursor, 103 nt
Filed under: Oikopleura dioica
Lineage: Eukaryota; Metazoa; Chordata; Appendicularia; Copelata; Oikopleuridae
Description: microRNA odi-mir-1497b precursor
Source: miRBase by way of RNAcentral
AGUAGUCUUUUUGACAGAAAUUGGUCCUACCUGACUUUUCUUCGAUAAGCUAUUUGAUAAGGCUAUUGAAGAACUGCAGGUGGUGGUCCGACUUCUGCCAAAA